Molecule: ribosomal RNA, 445 nt
Filed under: uncultured Sutterella sp.
Lineage: Bacteria; Pseudomonadati; Pseudomonadota; Betaproteobacteria; Burkholderiales; Sutterellaceae
Description: bacterial SSU rRNA
Rfam family: Bacterial small subunit ribosomal RNA
Source: RNAcentral
UGGGGAAUUUUGGACAAUGGGGGCAACCCUGAUCCAGCCAUGCCGCGUGCAGGAAGAAGGUCUUCGGAUUGUAAACUGCUUUUAUUCGGGACAAAAGCGUGCGGGGGAUAAUCUCGUACGUAUGAUGGUACUGAAGGAAUAAGCACCGGCUAACUACGUGCCAGCAGCCGCGGUAAUACGUAGGGUGCGAGCGUUAAUCGGAAUCACUGGGCGUAAAGGGUACGCAGGCGGCGCGUUAAGACAGGUGUGAAAUCCCCGGGCUCAACCUGGGAACUGCACUUGUGACUGGCGUGCUUGAGUGCGGCAGAGGGGGUGGAAUUCCAAGUGUAGCAGUGAAAUGCGUAGAUAUUUGGAAGAACACCGAUGGCGAAGGCAGCCCCUGGGCCGUAACUGACGCUCAUGUACGAAAGCGUGGGGAGCAAACAGGAUUAGAUACCCUGGUAGU